AUCAGGGUUAAACCAAUCAUGAGCCCAACUCAAUUUGGGUCGAACCCAAUUUGAUUUGGCUCAUCAAAUCAGCCCAAUUUGCAAUCUAAUUGCAAUCAAUUCCACUUAAUUCUUCUUCCAUUAACUCAUUAACAUUUAGUGGGUUAAUUCAAUCACCAAUCAUAUUGAUAAUUGACAUCAAUUGUGAUUCUCAAUCACAAUUACGAUAAUUUGACUAAUCAAAUCCUUUAUGUGUGCGAUCCUGUAGGUUCUAUUCUGUCUGGUAGUAAGACAUAUUGAGAUCUCCAUCUCAAUAUCACUGAAAUUCCUUUUAGUGGACUGAAACAAUUUCAGUUCUACUCUUAGGGUUUACUAAUCAUCAAGUGAAUGCCUUCAAGUCUCACAAUCCACUAGUGACACCUAGCAGUAUGUGGUGGCAACCCAGCAGAAUGGAAUGUCUAAACCUCUUAGUGCAGUUAGCGCAUGAUACAGUCCUUUUAUCAUGGAUCCCGACAUGACAGAGGUUAUGGAUAACUCGUCAAACUCCAUCGUCCGUCAUAUGUCAAAUUUAUUCGACUUCUUGUUCGAGAUAUGAAAAACUUUUUUUCCAAAAUAUCUGGCUAGGAAUUUAUCGAACUGAGUCUCAUAAAUCACGUAGGAUCACUCUUAAUCUAUCAAGAUCGAUAGAUCCAAUUUAGAUGCAACCCUAUUCCAAAAUGAACCUACUAUAGCCAAUCCGCACCAC
This 724-nucleotide long non-coding RNA is filed under the name Phoenix dactylifera (date palm). Its description in RNAcentral is "long non-coding RNA (PDAC_LNC009071)". Lineage: Eukaryota; Viridiplantae; Streptophyta; Magnoliopsida; Arecales; Arecaceae. The record is from RNAcentral.